This is a long non-coding RNA of Cynocephalus volans (Philippine flying lemur), 361 nucleotides long. RefSeq lists it as uncharacterized. The record is from RefSeq and is a predicted model, not a curated record. NCBI's taxonomy places the organism in Eukaryota, Metazoa, Chordata, Mammalia, Dermoptera, Cynocephalidae. The transcript has 4 exons.
CGUGGUAACUAACAGCUUCUUGCAGUUUCUAGAUCUAGAGUGCUGCACUACCCUUGGUGGCUCCUUAACUCUGUCCACACCUCUACCAGGACCACGUGUUAGAGUUAGCUGGCUGCACUCUUACAGUCCAUUUCCCCUCCAGUCUCUUGCAUGAGGCCCAGUCUGGACUUAGAGCACUCAAGUUCAAACCACACAGAUUUAUUAAGCACUUACUAUGUGCCUGGCCUGGAGACUCAAAGUGGAGUGGACACAGCCUCUUCCAUCCAGGAGCUCACAGUCUACUGGAGGAGGCCAAAAAGAAGAUAGAUCAUUACAAUCCAAGAUGGCACACGAUAUGUUCUCUGAUAGUGGGGGAAUAAAG